AAGUCGUAACAAGGUUUCCGUAGGUGAACCUGCGAAAGGAUCAUUAACACGUUUCCAAACGUUUUAACUACCAAACAACUGCGUGAACUGUACCCUCCCUACCAUUCUCUAUGCGUCAACUGCAUUAACACUCAUUGUGGAUCGAUUGUGUGUACCUCGGUACGCCUUCGGAGUGGCGUUGACUGGCAGGCCGUUGAUUCAGCACAUAGGUUAUGAUUAGGCUAUUUUUCAUUCCACAGCAAUAUUUACCCCUACUUAUAUCGUCGCUAGCCGACGUGACUUUUGACUAAUGCUAACCUAUGUUGGGCAUUGAGCCUUCGGGUGAUGUGUUCCAGCCUUAGGUUGAGUUAUGUAUAUAACAAAGCACAACUCUUAGCAACGGAUAUCUUGGUUCUC
Molecule: unclassified non-coding RNA, 396 nt
Filed under: fungal sp.
Lineage: Eukaryota; Fungi
Description: partial internal transcribed spacer region
Rfam family: Eukaryotic small subunit ribosomal RNA (bases 1-46)
Source: RNAcentral